This 440-nucleotide ribosomal RNA is filed under the name uncultured bacterium. Its description in RNAcentral is "partial 16S ribosomal RNA". It matches the Rfam family "Bacterial small subunit ribosomal RNA", at positions 338 to 795 of the family's 1533-position model. The record is from RNAcentral.
CCUACGGGUGGCAGCAGUGGGGAAUAUUGCACAAUGGGGGGAACCCUGAUGCAGCAACGCCGCGUGGGUGAAGAAGUACUCCGGUAUGUAAAGCCCUGUCAGCAGGGAAGAAACUGACGGUACCUGACCAAGAAGCCCCGGCUAACUACGUGCCAGCAGCCGCGGUAAUACGUAGGGGGCAAGCGUUAUCCGGAUUUACUGGGUGUAAAGGGAGCGUAGACGGCAAGGCAAGUCUGGAGUGAAAGCCCGUGGCACAACCACGGGACUGCUUUGGAAACCGUGUUGCUGGAGUGCAGGAGGGGUAAGCGGAAUGCCUAGUGUAGCGGUGAAAUGCGUAGAUAUUAGGAGGAACACCGGUGGCGAAGGCGGCCUGCUGGACUGCAACUGACGUUGAGGCCCGAAAGCGUGGGGAGCAAACAGGAUUAGAUACCCUGGUAGUC